Sander lucioperca (pikeperch) is the source of this 2262-nucleotide long non-coding RNA. RefSeq lists it as uncharacterized. The record is from RefSeq and is a predicted model, not a curated record. The transcript is spliced from 3 exons. NCBI's taxonomy places the organism in Eukaryota, Metazoa, Chordata, Actinopteri, Perciformes, Percidae.
UUUGUAUAAAGGACAGACACAGGUUACAUAUAUUUUACUUCUGGUGAAUAUAAUCCAUUACUAGUUUUCAUAUGUACGUUGUAUUAACAUCUUAUUUUGAAAACCGGAAGUAGUCCAAUGUGCAUCAUCUCGCCAACUUCGCUACUCGAUCUGGGCCGUUUGAAUGCAUUUACCACGCGUGCCGGAAUAAGAGCGCAUUACAAGUUUAGUGUCGGCUGAUUUGACCACGGAGAUCCGAGUGUCGGCUGGCUUGACCGCAGUUCUGUUUUUGCCUGCUAACCUGUAUGCUGUUCUUUGUGUUUCGAAGGAGAACCACUGCUCUACAGUCUCUCAACCUACCUGCUGACGCCACUCUCCACCUGCCGUCACCAGUCCUGCAUGCUUCGUCUCCCUGCCUGUGUCCACAACCUGCUUUGUCGCCUGAGAGGUUUUUCUCACCAGUCCAUUCAGCUACCUUGUCUAAAUCAUUAAUAAACUGAGUUAAACUUCGAACCGUCUGCAGUCUGCUUCUGGGUUCAAAUCGCAAAUGACAGUACUAUCCGGCCAGUAUGAACCCAGCAGACUUAAGUGCAGUUCAGGAGGAAUUGUCCAAUCAGGGCUCUGUCCUGGGCCAGCAUGGAAAUAUUCCCCAGGGAGUUAUGGAGGAACUCAAGGCGCUUUCCACCUGUGUCACCUCCCUGCAGGCUCAGCUUAACACCGCUCUCCUAGCCUCCACUGCUCUGCCCGGAGCUGAAUCAACUGUGAGUCAACCAGUUGUUGCUAGUUUGGACCGGGAACCUAUGGUUCCUACCCCCGUAAGGUAUGAUGGUGAUUUUGGAUUUUGUCAGCCUUUUUUGCUACAGUGCAAUCUGGUUUUUGAGCUACAGCCCCGUUCCUAUUCUACUGAUCGAGCCAGGAUUGCUUACGUCAUCGGGUUGCUAAAGGGAGACGCUCUUAAAUGGGCUUCAGCAGUUUGGGAUAAGCAAGCCUCGUCAGCCUCUACCUACGUUUCUUUUGUAAUGAACUCAGGAAAGUUUUUGAUCAUCCUGUCAACGGAAAAGACGCUUCUACAAGCCUGCUUUCUCUCCGUCAGGGGCUGCGCAGCGUCGCGGAUUAUUCCAUUGAGUUUUGCGCACUGGCAGUGGAGAGUGGCUGGAACGCGGUGUCUUUGCAGGCUGUUUUCAUCAAAGGACUAAGUGAGUCACUCAAAGAUGAAUUGGUUUCGUACACUGAGCCUGUUUCACUGGAUCAACUAAUAGCCUUAGCUAUUCAUAUAGACAAUCGACUGCAAGAACGGAAGAGGGAGAGACGUCAACUUCAGCCUAGACUGCCAAUGGAGGUGGUCACUACCACGAGAAGCCGAGAGAGGGUGCCAGAGGUUGAACCUAUGCAACUGGGACGUCACCAGUUGGACCCUGAGGAAUUACAGCGUCGGAUCUCUAAUCAGUGCUGCCUAUAUUGUGGAGCGUCUGGUCACCGCCUCGCAGCUUGCCCCUGCCGUCCGUUAAACAGGAGGACUCGCUAGAUGGGAGGAGUAUGCUAGUGAGUCCAACUUCAACACCCCACCCAAGACAGUUUGGUGUCUGCAACCCGGUGGAUGGUCUAUAUGGAGGAGAAGGUGUUAUGAGGCUGAGCAGCUGCAUGACUUCCAGCGCCCUUGCUGUCUUUUUCGCAGCCUGGAGUAUCAGGAGUCUGCAUCCAUCACGCUGGAGAUAAUACAGAGCUUAGCUACAACAAGAUCAGCAUCAACCAUGAAUGAAGUAAAUUCCUUAAUACGGCGGACAACACAAUCUUACUAGGACUGUAAAAAAAACGUUGAUAAACUUGUGUUUUGUUGAACACUGCUUAAGUGUGGCUCAUUUACAGUGAUUGACACAUUGGGCAGGUGCAUUUACUGUAAAGACUUUUUCUAAGUACUGUUAAUGCUUUCUUACAAUACAGCCUUUGUGGCCGGUGUUGCUGGUUUGUGGCUAUUUGGCAUUUAAAUGAUGCACAUGUUGGUGUAUUGUAUAUGUAUUAUAUAAAAUGUGUAGUGCCCACAUUUCGUGGUUCUCUUGUUGUAGAGUUUAACAGUUUUAAGAAAACAUUUCCCAAGAGUUAUGUGAUUUUUAUGCUACAAUCUGCCAGGACGGAGGCAGAUGUAGAUGUUUGUUGUACAAUAUUUUUUGUUUCCUGUAGUAUUUUCUAUUUGUCUAUGGUUUUGUAUAGUGUCCAAUAUUUCUUAGGCCACUGAGUUGUGUCAUCACUUGAGAAUUGAGAAUAAUUACAUUUAUUUUUUGUAAA